ACCUACGGGGCGCAGCAGUGAGGAAUAUUGGUCAAUGGCCGAGAGGCUGAACCAGCCAAGUCGCGUGAGGGAUGACGGCCCUACGGGUUGUAAACCUCUUUUGUCGGGGAGCAAGACCCGCCUCGUGCAGGCGGAGCGAGAGUACCCGAAGAAAAAGCAUCGGCUAACUCCGUGCCAGCAGCCGCGGUAAUACGGAGGAUGCGAGCGUUAUCCGGAUUUAUUGGGUUUAAAGGGUGCGCAGGCGGACCAUCAAGUCAGCGGGAAAAUCGUGGGGCCCAACCCCAGCCUGCCGUUGAAACUGGCGG
This 305-nucleotide ribosomal RNA is filed under the name uncultured bacterium. RNAcentral describes it as "bacterial SSU rRNA". It matches the Rfam family "Bacterial small subunit ribosomal RNA", at positions 337 to 639 of the family's 1533-position model. The record is from RNAcentral.